AGCCCUGUGGUGUAGUGGCCAAUCAUAGCGGCCUUUGGACGCGCACGGAUGUCCGUUCGCGGAAGCUAGCCGCUGACGCUGGUUCGAAUCCAGCCGGGGCUA
This 102-nucleotide transfer RNA is filed under the name halophilic archaeon J07HX64. RNAcentral describes it as "tRNA-Gln". It matches the Rfam family "tRNA". Rfam says of the family: Transfer RNA (tRNA) molecules are approximately 80 nucleotides in length. The record is from RNAcentral. Lineage: Archaea; Methanobacteriati; Methanobacteriota; Halobacteria; Halobacteriales.